This 169-nucleotide ribosomal RNA is filed under the name Schultzidia johnstonensis (Johnston snake-eel). RNAcentral describes it as "partial small subunit ribosomal RNA". Lineage: Eukaryota; Metazoa; Chordata; Actinopteri; Anguilliformes; Ophichthidae. The record is from RNAcentral.
CACCGCGGUUAUACGAGGGGCCCAAACCAAUAUUUAACGGCGUAAAGUGUGAUUAGAGGAUACAAUAACUAAAGAAAAACGUCCCCCAAGCUGUUAUACGCUAACGGAAAGACUGAAGACCCACAACGAAAGUGACUUUAUGACCCUUGAACUCACGACCAUUAAGAAA